GUAAACGAAAAAACCGCCCAGCAAGGCGGCUUUUCGAAGGUUCUCAGAGCAGCAACUCUUUGAACCAAGGUAACUGGCUUGGAGGAGCACAGCCACCAAAUCUGUCCUUUCAGUUUAGCCUUAACCGGCGCAUAACUUCAAGACUAACUCCUCUAAACGGUUACCAAUGGCUGCUGCCAGUGGCGUUUUUACGUGUCUUUCCGGGUUGGACUCAAGACGAUAGUUACCGGAUAAGGCGCAGCGGUCGGGCUGAACGGGGGGUUCGUGCACACAGCCCAGCUUGGAGCGAACGACCUACACCGGGCCGAGAUACCAACAGCGUGAGCUAUGAGAAAGCGCCACGCUUCCCGAAGGGAGAAAGGCGGACAGGUAUCCGGUAAGCGGCAGGGUCGGAACAGGAGAGCGCACGAGGGAGCUUCCAGGGGGAAACGCCUGGUAUCUUUAUAGUCCUGUCGGGUUUCGCCACCUCUGACUUGAGCAUCUGUUUUUGUGAUGCUCGUCAGGGGGGCGGAGCCUAUGGAAAA
Molecule: small RNA, 524 nt
Filed under: Salmonella enterica subsp. enterica serovar Newport
Lineage: Bacteria; Pseudomonadati; Pseudomonadota; Gammaproteobacteria; Enterobacterales; Enterobacteriaceae
Description: RNAII
Source: RNAcentral